Molecule: non-coding RNA, 1278 nt
Organism: Salmo salar (Atlantic salmon)
Lineage: Eukaryota; Metazoa; Chordata; Actinopteri; Salmoniformes; Salmonidae
Source: RefSeq, a predicted model, not a curated record
CUGCGUUCAGCCUGCCCUGACAUCUCAACCCAAGGCCACUGAGAAGCUUCCAGCUUUCAAACAAAACAGUUUAAACACCUCCAGAAUCCCAGUACUGGAGUUGACUGAAGAAAGAAAGGGUGCUCUGCAGCGACUUGCCAGUUUGAAGGCUGUGGAAAAGAAACCACAUCCUCCCUCCAGAAUCCCAGUACUGCAGAAAAAGAGGUCCAUCUGCAAUGGGAAGAGUCAAGGACUGCAUGUAGCUCCAACAUCUCAGCAGUCAGGGAAGGCUACUGUUCCUCCCAUCCGGAUGCCACUGCAACACAUCGGUACCAAGACGGAUCAAACCUGCGUGGAGAAAGACAUCUACCUCCAUAGUGCCAUGCCAUUGAAGGCAGUCCAUGGAGCCAAUAUGGUCGCCAAGAUGGCACUUCCUCCCAUUAGAGCCAGAGUCACUGUGCCAAACAAUGAUGCCAAGAAGAAGCCUUUCCAGCCAGUCAGACCAGAGGGCAGCCCUCGUCCUGCUGCUUCAAAGUACAGAAGGCAGGUUGUGAAGAAACACGUUCAGUUCAAGACUCAGACCCUAACUGUACAGGAUCUACCGCCAUGCCCCGAUGAGAUGGUAUGGGACGUCUUUAACUCAGAGGCUGAGCAGGUGAUGGCAUAUAUGAAGGCCAAGCUGAUCAGUGUCACCCAAGAAUUGAAACUGAUUAAAAGUGGGGCCAAGAUGGAUGCUCAGGCUCUGGAGGAGAAAAACGCUAAAGAACGGUUGAGAAAAAAGGUGGAGAAGUUCAUCCAGGAGAUUUGCCUAAUGAAGGUGGAUUCUGACCUAUGGGAGAUGAUAAGAGAUAACGAAGAAGAGGAAGAAAGGAAUAAAGAGGUGAGGAGAAAUGGAGAACAAAGCAGUGUGGCAAGUAAGCCAAAGUAGACAGCCACGAGAUACACUGUGAGCAAACCAAAGGAAGUCAAGAAGGGUUUGAACAUGGAAGAGAAAAAGGAGGACAGACAGGUGGUGUUGAAACGUCGAUUUGGGAUGAGUGCAGCCAACUCCAAGCUGAAGCAGUGUGAGCACUGCGGCCGGUGCUUUGAUCCUAGUCGCCUGGAGAAGCACAGCGAGAUCUGUGCCAAGCUCUCCUCCAAGAGCUCUAGACGGGGGGUCUAUGACUCCACCAAGCACCGGCUCAAAGGCACUGAACUGGCUGGCUACGUGAAGCGAUCCGUGGUCUGAUGCACCAAGGGACCUGAGUCUGUCGCUCUUUUGUAUUUUGGAAUGAACAGACAGACAUACAGUGACUGCUA